RNAcentral lists this ribosomal RNA (253 nucleotides) under uncultured bacterium. RNAcentral's name for it is "partial 16S ribosomal RNA". It matches the Rfam family "Bacterial small subunit ribosomal RNA", at positions 524 to 776 of the family's 1533-position model. The record is from RNAcentral.
UACGAGUGCGUCAAGCGUUAUCCGGAAUUACUGGGCGUAAAGCGCACGCAGGCGGUCUUUUAAGUUUGACGUGAAAGCUCCCGGCUUAACUGGGAGAGGUCGUUGAAUACUGGAAGACUUGAGGAAAUGAGAGGGGUGUAGAAUUCCUGGUGUAGUGGUGGAAUGCGUAGAUAUCAGGAGGAAUACCAGUGGCGAAAGCGGCACCCUAGCAUUUUUCUGACGCUCAUGUGCGAAAGCGUGGGGAGCGAACGGG